GUGUCAGCAGCCGCGGUAAUACGAAGGGGGCGAGCGUUGUUCGGAAUUACUGGGCGUAAAGGGCGCGUAGGCGGCCGAUCAAGUCAGAUGUGAAAGUCCUGGGCUUAACCUGGGGACUGCAUUUGAUACUGAUUGGCUUGAAUGCAGGAGAGGAUAGCGGAAUUCCCAGUGUAGAGGUGAAAUUCGUAGAUAUUGGGAAGAACACCGGUGGCGAAGGCGGCUAUCUGGACUGUGAUUGACGCUGAGGCGCGAAAGCGUGGGGAGCAAACAGGAUUAGAAACCCUGGUAGUCC
RNAcentral lists this ribosomal RNA (292 nucleotides) under uncultured bacterium. RNAcentral's name for it is "partial 16S ribosomal RNA". It matches the Rfam family "Bacterial small subunit ribosomal RNA", at positions 505 to 796 of the family's 1533-position model. The record is from RNAcentral.